CCUACGGGAGGCAGCAGUAGGGAAUCUUUCACAAUGGGCGAAAGCCUGAUGGAGCAACGCCGCGUGCAGGAUGAAGGCCUUCGGGUUGUAAACUGCUUUUAUAAGCGAGAAAUAUGAUGGUAACUUAUGAAUAAGGAUCGGCUAACUACGUGCCAGCAGCCGCGGUCAUACGUAGGAUCCGAGCAUUAUCCGGAGUGACUGGGUGUAAAGAGUUGCGUAGGUGGCAUAAUAAGUAGCUAGGGAAAUCUGGUGGCUCAACCAUUCAGACUAUUAGCUAAACUGUUAAGCUCGAGACCGUUAGGGGUAACUGGAAUGGCUGGGGUAGGAGUGAAAUCCGUAGAUAUUAGAAAGAACACCGAUAGCGUAGGCAGGUUACUGGGACGGUUCUGACGCUAAGGCACGAAAGCGUAGGGAGCGAACGGGAUUAGAUACCCUGGUAGUC
RNAcentral lists this ribosomal RNA (442 nucleotides) under uncultured bacterium. RNAcentral's name for it is "partial 16S ribosomal RNA". It matches the Rfam family "Bacterial small subunit ribosomal RNA", at positions 338 to 795 of the family's 1533-position model. The record is from RNAcentral.